CACACUGGAACUGAGACACGGUCCAGACACCUACGGGUGGCAGCAGUCGAGAAUCAUUCGCAAUGGGGGAAACCCUGACGAUGCGACGCCGCGUGGAGGAUGAAGGCCUUAGGGUUGUAAACUCCUGUCAAGAGGGAAUAAGCAAGUGAAGGUACCUCUAGAGGAAGGGGCGGCUAAUUCCGUGCCAGCAGCCGCGGUAACACGGAAGCCCCGAGCGUUGUUCGGAUUCAUUGGGCGUAAAGGGUGCGUAGGCGGCGCGGAAAGUCCGGCGUGAAAGGCAGGGGCUCAACCUCUGGACUGCGUUGGAUACUUCCGUGCUUGAGGACUGGAGGGGAGACUGGAAUUCACGGUGUAGCAGUGAAAUGCGUAGAUAUCGUGAGGAAGACCGGUGGCGAAGGCGAGUCUCUGGACAGAUCCUGACGCUGAGGCACGAAGGCUGGGGGAGCGAACAGGAUUAGAUACCCUGGUAGUCCCAGCAGUAAACGAUGUGAGCUUGAUGUGGGGGGAUUCGACCCCUUCCGUGUCGAAGCUAACGCGAUAAGCUCACCGCCUGAGGAGUACGGCCGCAAGGCUAAAACUCAAAGAAAUUGACGGGGACCCGCACAAGCGGUGGAGUAUGUGGCUUAAUUCGAUGCAACGCGAAGAACCUUACCUGGCCUUGACAUGCAUUGUGUCGUCGGUGAAAGCCGGCUAGUCCUGGAAACAGGACGCUUUGCACAGGUGCUGCAUGGCUGUCGUCAGCUCGUGUCGUGAGAUGUUGGGUUAAGUCCCGCAACGAGCGCAACCCUUGUGGUCAGUUACUAACCGGCUUAGCCGGAGGACUCUGGCCAGACUGCCCUGUCAAACGGGGAGGAAGGUGGGGACGACGUCAAGUCAGUAUGGCCCUUAUGGCCAGGGCUGCACACGUACUACAAUGCCCGGUACAAUGUGAACCGAAACCGCGAGGUGGAGGAAAUCGCUCUUGAAAACCGGGCCCAGUUCGGAUUGGAGUCUGCAACUCGACUCCAUGAAGUCGGAAUCGCUAGUAAUGGCGUAUCAGCAACGACGCCGUGAAUACGUUCCCGGGUCUUGUACACACCGCCCGUCACAUCAUGGAAGUCUCCUGUACCCGAAGCACGUGCGCCAACCUUUUAGGAGGCAGCGUUCGAAGGUAUGG
This 1156-nucleotide ribosomal RNA is filed under the name uncultured organism. Its description in RNAcentral is "bacterial SSU rRNA". It matches the Rfam family "Bacterial small subunit ribosomal RNA", at positions 309 to 1467 of the family's 1533-position model. The record is from RNAcentral.